CCCACGGCUGGUGCAUCGUGGCGGCGCAGGUCAGCCUGAUGAGCUGACAUCGUCCGGCGCUUCGCCCGAUCAACGCGGGCCGAGCGCC
This 88-nucleotide transfer RNA is filed under the name Pantoea agglomerans. RNAcentral describes it as "tRNA-Ile". The record is from RNAcentral. RNAcentral also lists the same sequence under 1 other name. Lineage: Bacteria; Pseudomonadati; Pseudomonadota; Gammaproteobacteria; Enterobacterales; Erwiniaceae.